Larimichthys crocea (large yellow croaker) is the source of this 123-nucleotide non-coding RNA. The record is from Rfam. Lineage: Eukaryota; Metazoa; Chordata; Actinopteri; Sciaenidae.
GCUUACGGCCAUACCACCCUGAAUGCGCCCAAUCUCGUCUGAUCUCGGAAGCUAAGCAGGGUCAGGCCUGGUUAGUACUUGGAUGGGUGACCGCCUGGGAACGGCUCAUGACCCCCCCAAGUC